UGCCUGACGUGGAUGCUAGUUCCUGAGAUUAAGCCAUGCAUGUUUCCGAACCCAUGGGGGGAAGGAUAGACGGCUCAGUAAUACUGCGACGAUUUGAUCGAUGUUUAGCCGUACCCACGGGAAACUGUGGCCAGGGCUAUUGAGUGUAGAGUACAUGUGUCGAGUAAGUUGCAGGCCUAUCAACUGGUAGUUAGGGUAAUGGCCUAACUAGGUGGCGACGGGAGACGGGGGAUUGGGGUUUGAUUCCGGAGAGGGAGCCUGAGAGAUGGCUACUACGUCCAAGGAUGGCAGCAGGCGCGAAACUUGCCUAAUCCUUUGGAAUGGGAGGCAGUUAUGGAACGUUUUGUGCGUGAUUGUAAAGAGAUUGCGCAGUAUCGGAGGGCAAGUCGGGUGCCAGCAUCCGCGGUAAU
This 410-nucleotide ribosomal RNA is filed under the name Microsporidium sp. RNAcentral's name for it is "SSU rRNA". It matches the Rfam family "Microsporidia small subunit ribosomal RNA", at positions 15 to 409 of the family's 1311-position model. The record is from RNAcentral. Lineage: Eukaryota; Fungi; Microsporidia.